Molecule: long non-coding RNA, 1542 nt
Organism: Cygnus atratus (black swan)
Lineage: Eukaryota; Metazoa; Chordata; Aves; Anseriformes; Anatidae
Exons: 4
Source: RefSeq, a predicted model, not a curated record
CAGCAAAUCAUCCUCGGAAUUAUGCAAAGGUUGGAAACUGUUGGAGUGACUGGAAUGAAAGCAAAGGAGACCUAACAAGCUGUACCUCUUAUGCAAGGUUCAACAGCAUUCAAACAGCAAGGCAUAUCAUGGCUGUGUUUCCUUGAAAAGCUGGGGCAAAGAACCUUGAGGUGAACUGCUUUGAAGACGGCAAUCAUACACAGUCAGAAGAUACCUUGUGAUUUUCACUUCCUUUUAUCAGACCAUGUCUUUGAUGCAACAGGAUACAGAGACUGUCUUAAGCAAUUUGUCUUGCUAACAUACAGCUGUACAGUAGCUUUGGAUUUCCAUGUUCUAAAUCCCCAUGAACUGCAACCUUUCCAGAUCCUCCGCCAGAGCACAUGACAUCAUAUACGUUGUGUUUAGUUAUACAACCUAAUGGAAAAACAUCACACUUGAGAAUCAAAAUCCACUGAUCUUAACUGAAAAUUACACAAGCAAGAACAUUUUUGGCUUCUUCCUGAACUCCACCCAGUUCAAAAAAAAAAAUGUGCACAGAACUGCAUUAAGAAACUUGAAGUGCUCACUGAGUAAGACUAAGUGAGAUCUGCAGGUGCACCGAGUCCUGAAUUCAUUUCAGUGGCACAGCCCUAGGUGCUCCUGCUGAUCGCGUCGUCUGCCAGAGCCGAGUGCCAGAGGAACUGCAGAGUUACCCAGACUGUAGAAGCAGCAUUUAAAAAUGCCUCUCUUCUCUCUUGCUGGAAAGAAUUCAGAAGCCAGCAGGGCCAAUCUGUUCUUACAAUGUUAUAUAAAGGUCCUCUGUAUUAUUCUGUAUUUGUUAACUGUUAUUUAUAUUGAGACAACUAUAUGUAGUUAUGGGAAAGAUGGUGGAACUACAGAGAUGGCGGAACCAGAUCUGAUGUGUUCUGAGCUUGAUUCACACUGUACUGUUAGGGCACUGUUGACUUUACUCUGAUCCACAUACUGUUUUGAGGCCUCCCUUCCUGUACAGUGACACUCCUAUACAGUCCCUGGAGUAAUGUGCUUUCUGUUUCACUAGCUCAUCUGCGUGAUAUCCAGCAUUUGAACGACAACUAAAAAUGAUACUAAGUACUGUGUAGGUCUAAGCAUGCUUAAAAAAUAACCUACAAAUCACUGAAAUACCAAAACAGGUUGUGAGACUUGGGAUACAAACCAGUUUCAGAAUUACAGUGUGAAGAUUAGGAAAUAAUAUCGGAACAAUUGGAAAUGUGGUAUCUGCUGCCCUACAGAAUAAAAUAUUAUUAAGUCUAACCACUUACUGGUGGCUAUCUUUUCAAUUUAUUUUAUGUAGUAGCUCUGCACAUUACGUUAGCAUCUUCAAGCAUAUGCCAGGGCCAUGAAGUAACAAAGAAAUUCUUUGUAUCCUGGGACUUCUAAGAGUGACUGCAAAACCAGAAACAGUAAGCCAGAAACAAAUUGCUCAGUGAUCUUUCUAUGUUCUGCUGCUUCACGGAACAGAAUUGUAUGUUGUUGUGAAAACUGACUAGACUAGAAAACUGCACAUGCCACUGUGUGCUACUC